GAUGAACGCUGGCGGCGUGCCUAAUACAUGCAAGUCGAGCGAACGGACGAGAAGCUUGCUUUUCUGAUGUUAGCGGCGGACGGGUGAGUAACACGUGGAUAACCUACCUAUAAGACUGGGAUAACUUCGGGAAACCGGAGCUAAUACCGGAUAAUAUUUUGAACCGCAUGGUUCAAAAGUGAAAGACGGUCUUGCUGUCACUUAUAGAUGGAUCCGCGCUGCAUUAGCUAGUUGGUAAGGUAACGGCUUACCAAGGCAACGAUGCAUAGCCGACCUGAGAGGGUGAUCGGCCACACUGGAACUGAGACACGGUCCAGACUCCUACGGGAGGCGGCAGUAGGGAAUCUUCCGCAAUGGGCGAAAGCCUGACGGAGCAACGCCGCGUGAGUGAUGAAGGUCUUCGGAUCGUAAAACUCUGUUAUUAGGGAAGAACAUAUGUGUAAGUAACUGUGCACAUCUUGACGGUACCUAAUCAGAAAGCCACGGCUAACUACGUGCCAGCAGCCGCGGUAAUACGUAGGUGGCAAGCGUUAUCCGGAAUUAUUGGGCGUAAAGCGCGCGUAGGCGGUUUUUUAAGUCUGAUGUGAAAGCCCACGGCUCAACCGUGGAGGGUCAUUGGAAACUGGAAAACUUGAGUGCAGAAGAGGAAAGUGGAAUUCCAUGUGUAGCGGUGAAAUGCGCAGAGAUGUGGAGGAACACCAGUGGCGAAGGCGACUUUCUGGUCUGUAACUGACGCUGAUGUGCGAAAGCGUGGGGAUCAAACAGGAUUAGAUACCCUGGUAGUCCACGCCGUAAACGAUGAGUGCUAAGUGUUAGGGGGUUUCCGCCCCUUAGUGCUGCAGCUAACGCAUUAAGCACUCCGCCUGGGGAGUACGACCGCAAGGUUGAAACUCAAAGGAAUUGACGGGGGCCCGCACAAGCGGUGGAGCAUGUGGUUUAAUUCGAAGCAACGCGAAGAACCUUACCAAAUCUUGACAUCCUUUGACAACUCUAGAGAUAGAGCCUUCCCCUUCGGGGGACAAAGUGACAGGUGGUGCAUGGUUGUCGUCAGCUCGUGUCGUGAGAUGUUGGGUUAAGUCCCGCAACGAGCGCAACCCUUAAGCUUAGUUGCCAUCAUUAAGUUGGGCACUCUAAGUUGACUGCCGGUGACAAACCGGAGGAAGGUGGGGAUGACGUCAAAUCAUCAUGCCCCUUAUGAUUUGGGCUACACACGUGCUACAAUGGACAAUACAAAGGGCAGCGAAACCGCGAGGUCAAGCAAAUCCCAUAAAGUUGUUCUCAGUUCGGAUUGUAGUCUGCAACUCGACUACAUGAAGCUGGAAUCGCUAGUAAUCGUAGAUCAGCAUGCUACGGUGAAUACGUUCCCGGGUCU
RNAcentral lists this ribosomal RNA (1372 nucleotides) under uncultured bacterium. RNAcentral's name for it is "bacterial SSU rRNA". It matches the Rfam family "Bacterial small subunit ribosomal RNA", at positions 28 to 1381 of the family's 1533-position model. The record is from RNAcentral.